Oryctolagus cuniculus (rabbit) is the source of this 80-nucleotide small nucleolar RNA. Its record names the gene SNORD115. It matches the Rfam family "Small nucleolar RNA SNORD115". Rfam says of the family: HBII-52 is a member of the C/D class of snoRNAs, which contain the C (UGAUGA) and D (CUGA) box motifs. The record is from Ensembl. Lineage: Eukaryota; Metazoa; Chordata; Mammalia; Lagomorpha; Leporidae.
GGGUCAAUGAUGAGACCUCAAUUAUCUCGAAGAGAGAUGAUGACUUAAAAAUCAUGCUCAAUAGGAUUACGCUGAGGCCC